Molecule: long non-coding RNA, 2082 nt
Organism: Gallus gallus (chicken)
Lineage: Eukaryota; Metazoa; Chordata; Aves; Galliformes; Phasianidae
Source: Ensembl
AGCAGCAUCUUGAUCUUAUGUCUUUCUUGAAGAGAAAUGUAUAUUUCUUAUAUCACAAAUGGGAAACUUGGGUGCUAAGAUGUCGUGAACAGUUGUCAAGGGUGUUAUCAAAAGUGAAAAAAAUAUUUGAGAGCCUCAUCUGUAUUUACAGCCUUUUUCUUUUGAAUUUUGAUAUGAUUUUCACCUAAUCUUCAGAGAAAUACCUCCUACUCGUAUAUUUAUGGAAAUCAUUGAACACUUUCAUUGUGAAUAAGCUGGCUCGUUGCUCUUAUUUGCCAUUCCAUUCAACCAUGUAUAGACGUGUCCAACUGCUCCCAACAUCAUUGGAUUUCUAUACACCGCAAGAGGAAGUCAUGGACACUUCUUCAAUCAUAUGACAACCAAAUACACAACCCAAGGACUAAUAUUUGGCCAUCUUUGUUUAAGAUGAAUGGCAUCUUAAAAAUUUACGUCAUGUACAGUAAUCAUCAUAAUCAUAUGGACAGCUCCUGCCAUAGUGUCUUUAUUCAUGACUUUUGCCCUUUAUUCUUGAUUGAUAAGUGACAGCUUUGCAUUCUGGACCUUGAAAUAUAUAUUUACAGUAGUCUAAGAAAUUUGUCCUUAAUCAAAGGAGGCUUGACUUGCCAGCACAUCUUUAGAAUAUUAUUGAGUAACUCAUUAAAAUGUUAAUAGCUUCUGUCAGGAUUUAUUGAUCCUGAUGUCAGCUUUUCUCAGAAUAAGAAAUAAAGCUGAUUUUUAUCUUAUCUUCAGACCAUGCUGAGUGAUCAGCACUUAAAUAGAAUAAUGAGAAGUGCUUGAGUAGAAUAAUCAACCUCUAGGACACGUCUUAGUUUUGAAUACAGACAGAGACCUUCAGAUGUAUGUAUUUUCUGUGGCCUGUGAAAUAAUAUGCAAUAUAAGGGCAAUGAAGAAAACACUUUAACUGGAUGAUUUUAGCAAACGCAAUUUGUUCUACUUAGGCAAAUAGAGGGAAUAAAAUGGUAUCACAUAUUUUCUAUUGGAUGAAAACAGCUGUUUGAAACACCAGUUCUUGGUAAAAUACUACUAGGACUGCCUUUGUUGUUCAAUGCAUCCUAAAUUACAUAAGUUAAAUCAUGACCAAAUUCUGUUCCACUGAAUUUCAAUAAAACAAACAUUUGAUGCAGAAUAUUUUCUGCUAUCUUCACGUUGUUUCAGUUAUACACAGAACUGAACAAAAGACUGACUGACAUAAGAAAAGAGAGAGGGGGAAGGCUAUUUGUUUUUCAGAGAAGGCUGCUAAUCUUAGAAUCUUUCCCACUGUGAGCAAGGUUGUCCAACAACAGCAGAACAGCAAAUCUCUUGCUGACCUAGCAGAACCAGGAUCAUCAAGUGUCAAAAUGAAUGAAAGAAAUAAGAGAGAAGAAUCUGUCUCUUAUAUCUUACUUUGAAAUGAUUAAGUCAACUUUCAUCGCAACACUUCUUCUGAAUACCCAAGCUAGUAUUUUACAGCAUGUCCAGAACUUCAAAGAAAUAAUUCUGUGAUAUUUUGCUGAUUCAAUCAUUUAAGGAAAAGGAAUCCUUAAGAAACCUGUUCCUUGAAGUUUUACUUAAGUAGCAGCCUACAGGGCAUCUGUCUCUGAGCCUGGAGUGUAAGCAGCACUGUGUUCUUUGUAACAAUGCUGUCACCUUGUACCUGAAAGGUGGCAGGUAUUUACUGGCAAAGGACAGGGGGACAGUAAAAUGGCUAAAAAGUUACCUGACUGCAUUUAAGCUGCAGCUUGAUCAGCCUGUGGAAAGGCUGUGUGGUGAAAGCACCUGCAAUAAAAAAGACUCAACCUUCUGAUUCAGGAAAUGCUUUUAAAUGUGUUCUUGUUACUUAAAAUUUUAAAAAAAUAAUUAAAAUGGUGGUCUGUUUAGUAGUUUGUUUCUAUAAGGACAAGGGUGAUUGCUGAGAGAGUGAUGAAAGCAGUGAAAUGUAAAAUAAUAAUAAUAAUUUGGGGCAUCCUAAGAAGCUUAUUCCUAAAUUAGAAUGCCUUGUCUAGUUAUUAAGUAGUAUCUGCAGUCAAGGAGAAUUUAUAGGAGUUAUAAUUAUGAGUGAUAUUGUUAUAGGCUUGGUCAACU